GCGGCUGUAGCUCAACAGGAUAGAGCAUCGGACUUCUAAUCCGAGGGUUGUGGGUUCAAGUCCCGCCAGCCGCGCCA
This 77-nucleotide transfer RNA is filed under the name Fervidobacterium sp. Its description in RNAcentral is "tRNA-Arg". It matches the Rfam family "tRNA". Rfam says of the family: Transfer RNA (tRNA) molecules are approximately 80 nucleotides in length. Their secondary structure includes four short double-helical elements and three loops (D, anti-codon, and T loops). The record is from RNAcentral. RNAcentral also lists the same sequence under 2 other names. Lineage: Bacteria; Thermotogati; Thermotogota; Thermotogae; Thermotogales; Fervidobacteriaceae.